AAAGGUUUGGUCCUGGCCUUAU
Molecule: non-coding RNA, 22 nt
Filed under: Mus musculus (house mouse)
Lineage: Eukaryota; Metazoa; Chordata; Mammalia; Rodentia; Muridae
Also listed under: 1 other name
Source: RNAcentral